RNAcentral lists this long non-coding RNA (338 nucleotides) under Setaria viridis. RNAcentral's name for it is "long non-coding RNA (SVIR_LNC005562)". Lineage: Eukaryota; Viridiplantae; Streptophyta; Magnoliopsida; Poales; Poaceae. The record is from RNAcentral.
GAGGUUGGUAGUUCAUUGGAUCCUUUGAGGUUUCUUAUUAUGGAGUUUAGAGUGCUGCUUGUGGUGAUAUAUAUUUGUUACCCUUAUUUGAUUGUCUGUUUGUCUUGUAACCAUUAUUGACAUGAUAAUUUUGCUCCACUUUGGUAGUCUGCAUUAUGUUCUAUUUCAGGUGGAGUUCAGUCAGCUAUUCCGAUUAAAGAUUGAAUGAGUAGCAGGUGUGUAACAUUUGAAGUGGAGGAUUUGUCAUGAGUUAUCCACUAUUUGAGCAGCAUGUUACAGCCAUUGUCCAAGCUACUCUUGAGAGGAUGUACUACAUAUUUGGCACAUCAUUACAGCCA